UUAUGUUUUGAAAAUGACAGAGAAUAUAAUAUGCUGUACAUUUUCCUAAGAA
This 52-nucleotide small RNA is filed under the name Arabidopsis thaliana (thale cress). RNAcentral's name for it is "ATSL055730". Lineage: Eukaryota; Viridiplantae; Streptophyta; Magnoliopsida; Brassicales; Brassicaceae. The record is from RNAcentral.